Molecule: long non-coding RNA, 2130 nt
Organism: Brassica rapa (field mustard)
Lineage: Eukaryota; Viridiplantae; Streptophyta; Magnoliopsida; Brassicales; Brassicaceae
Source: RefSeq, a predicted model, not a curated record
GAACUUCCAUUCUGCAACUCCUUCUCCUCCACUAGUGUGAGCCCUGAAGUGGUCGCGAGGGAGCCUUUCCAAGCAAAAGGAUGAGAUGGUAAGCUUGUGACGAGGUUACCAGCUUGUGACGAGAUGGUUCUUGCGAGUUCAAAACUCGAGCUUUGACGAGAAGAAGAAGCUUAGUGGUGAAGCAACUGUGACCAUGGUUUUGUCUGCUUGUGUUGAUCUUGGUGAUGUGCAGAUGGGAAAAUUUGCAAGGAGCUAAUGGAUCGAGCGAAGACUUGACCUUGGUCGCAAAUGUAUCAUAGCGAUUCUGAUCGUCCUUCUCGACGUUCUGUACCAGAGAAUUUGUGGCUUCGACGUCGUGAUCUCUGUCACCGUCCUCUCCCUGUGGCCACGAGAUUGAUGACGUUCCAAAGCUCUGGCUUGACCUCUGUUACGAAACCACUGCAAAAAGUUAAACAGGAACAAGAUCUCUUUGGGAUUGCAGAUAGUAAUUAUCUGAUCUCCGCACCCGGCUUCCUGCGCUUCACCACCAUGACGUCUUCAAAAGCUCCGUCAACGGCUUUGUUCUCGGCAUUCACCUCGUCACGUCACCAGUGUCAUCAAGGGAUCGUGAGAAUCACGAGGAAAGAGACAACAAGAAGCGCAGUCAAACGUUAGGCUUCAGAUACAUCAAUCUCUUCGAGGCUUUAGGCUCCAUCGUUGCAGUCUUGCGAGAUCAGGAGAUGAGCUUGUUCUUACUGAACUCUUCUCCUCUCCUGUUCGUGCCAGUUGCGGAGAGCUCUAGAGAAGACCUUGGGAGAUCACUGUGAACCAGCCACCUCGCCACAGACGUCUGGAAGCUUGAGACAAAGCUAUCUCAGCAUAUUCAUGAUCCCAGCCGUGACACCUCAAGAAUAUUGGAUAGGAUCGUCAAGACCAAUCUAGUAAAGCCACCGUGUCAUCUCGCCACGAGCUCGACGAACAGAGACGGCCCCGAGAUGAGAAGAGUCAUGAUCUCUACAGCAGCUCAAAGCUUCAAGCUCUGCUCAAGCUCCAAAACGAAAGAAAGAAGGCACUCGCCGUGGGGAACAUAUGAGUGAUCAGACCAUCUCAACCUCUCUUUACGAUCAGCUCAUGAUCAUCCACUUCAAAGAAAAAGUCUCACCAACUCAGCUUCAGAGCUAACUGCUUCUCUAUCAAGUGAUGCUCUCUAGACGAGAUCGCCAGUUGCAUAAAGCUUCUCGUCAGAUCUCCAACAGACAGCUCAUCAAGGCUUCAACUCUUCUUUGGCAGUUUACCAAUUUAUCUUCUACCGACAAAACCACUUGCCGGUCAAAGCUCCACCGCAAAGAUAAGUCCUUUAAUUAUAUUAUCACAUGCUUUCGUGUACACAUGUGUCACAGCAUAUAUUAUAAAUGUGGUUUCAAUCAUUAAACAACUCUAAGCUGCUCACUCUUAUUAUAACUUUUAUGAGAUGACUCUUGUAAUUGCUUUGCUGUUGGUGGACAAUUAUUAUAUGAUCACAUGCAUGUGAGAGCACUAAACAAAAACAAGUUCGAUAGCUUGCAUAUUAAUUAUGCAACAGUUGGUUAUUUCUUUUGGCUUAUAUUAAUCAUGAUCAUGCUUUUUGCUGUGAACCAGAGUUGAUUAGAUCGCUGAGCCAAAGAGAAUCAACAAGCGGCUACCACCAUCAUGUCCUCAUGCUUCGAAGGACAACCCUCAGCUACGAGCUUACUGGAAGCAGUACAAGCGACACAAACCAGCACGCUUUCUCAACAUCAUCAUAGCCUGACGAACACACAAGCCAACAACUUGCUUGGGGCACACGAUCUCAACACGAGACUUCGGGUCGGCAAUAGUUCAAGAUCGACUUCAUCUCUCUCUACGAACUUGGGGGGCUUACUGUUGGGGGUGGAUUUACAUCCUCUCUCAAAGGCCCAUUAGACAUUUAUUUAGGCCCACUUUCUUUAUAAAACCCUAGACAUCUUUCUUCUAUAAAUGGAGAGGUACCUCCAUAUGAGAAAGGAGCGGGACCUCUUUUUAGACUUAAGAACAUAUUUUCAUAUAGAUUUUGUAUUCUAAGGUUCACUUUACCUUUGUAAUCAUCUUGGUGAUGAACCUUUAAUCAAUAAAUCUAUUUUAUGUUCUUUUUCC